GCAUCGAUGAAGAACGCAGCGAAAUGCGAUAAGUAAUGUGAAUUGCAGAAUUCAGUGAAUCAUCGAAUCUUUGAACGCACAUUGCGCCCCCUGGUAUUCCGGGGGGCAUGCCUGUUCGAGCGUCAUUUCACCACUCAAGCCUCGCUUGGUAUUGGGCAACGCGGUCCGCCGCGUGCCUCAAAUCGACCGGCUGGGUCUUCUGUCCCCUAAGCGUUGUGGAAACUAUUCGCUAAAGGGUGUUCGGGAGGCUACGCCGUAAAACAACCCCAUUUCUAAGGUUGACCUCGGAUCAGGUAGGGAUACCCGCUGAACUUAAGCAUAUCAAUAAGCGGAGGA
Molecule: ribosomal RNA, 336 nt
Filed under: uncultured fungus
Lineage: Eukaryota; Fungi
Also listed under: 1 other name
Description: eukaryotic LSU rRNA
Rfam family: 5.8S ribosomal RNA (bases 1-125)
Source: RNAcentral